RNAcentral lists this ribosomal RNA (497 nucleotides) under uncultured bacterium. Its description in RNAcentral is "partial 16S ribosomal RNA". It matches the Rfam family "Bacterial small subunit ribosomal RNA", at positions 28 to 507 of the family's 1533-position model. The record is from RNAcentral.
GAUGAACGCUGGCGGCGUGCCUAAUACAUGCCAGUCGAGCGAACAGACGAGGAGCUUGCUCCUCUGACGUUAGCGGCGGACGGGUGAGUAACACGUGGAUAACCUACCUAUAAGACUGGGAUAACUUCGGGAAACCGGAGCUAAUACCGGAUAAUAUAUUGAACCGCAUGGUUCAAUAGUGAAAGACGGUUUUGCUGUCACUUAUAGAUGGAUCCGCGCCGCAUUAGCUAGUUGGUAAGGUAACGGCUUACCAAGGCGACGAUGCGUAGCCGACCUGAGAGGGUGAUCGGCCACACUGGAACUGAGACACGGUCCAGACUCCUACGGGAGGCAGCAGUAGGAAAUCUUCCGCAAUGGGCGAAAGCCUGACGGAGCAACGCCGCGUGAGUGAUGAAGGUCUUCGGAUCGUAAAACUCUGUUAUUAGGGAAGAACAAAUGUGUAAGUAACUAUGCACGUCUUGACGGUACCUAAUCAGAAAGCCACGGCUAACUACGUG